RNAcentral lists this ribosomal RNA (433 nucleotides) under uncultured bacterium. RNAcentral describes it as "partial 16S ribosomal RNA". It matches the Rfam family "Bacterial small subunit ribosomal RNA", at positions 29 to 507 of the family's 1533-position model. The record is from RNAcentral.
AACGAACGCUGGCGGCAUGCCUAACACAUGCAAGUCGAACGAGACCUUCGGGUCUAGUGGCGCACGGGUGCGUAACGCGUGGGAACCUGCCCUUAGGUUCGGAAUAACUCCCCGAAAGGGGUGCUAAUACCGGAUAAUGUCUUCGGACCAAAGAUUUAUCGCCUUUGGAUGGGCCCGCGUUGGAUUAGCUAGUUGGUGGGGUAAAAGCCUACCAAGGCGACGAUCCAUAGCUGGUCUGAGAGGAUGAUCAGCCACACUGGGACUGAGACACGGCCCAGACUCCUACGGGAGGCAGCAGUGGGGAAUAUUGGACAACGGGCGGAAGCCUGAUCCAGCAAUGCCGCGUGAGUGAUGAAGGCCUGAGGGUUGUAAAGCUCUUUUACCCGGGAUGAUAAUGACAGUACCGGGAGAAUAAGCUCCGGCUAACUCCGUG